Long non-coding RNA from Homo sapiens (human), 8896 nucleotides. RefSeq annotates it as GZMH and GMZB antisense RNA 1. Lineage: Eukaryota; Metazoa; Chordata; Mammalia; Primates; Hominidae. The record is from RefSeq and is a predicted model, not a curated record. The transcript is spliced from 3 exons.
UCUGCUGGGUGGGCACCUGCUUAGUGGCUCCAGAACUCCUGGGCAUUUGGGAGCCUGGGAUAGCCUGGAGUUGGGAGUGGCCUGGAGGAAGGGGCUUCAAUUUCCUGCUCUGAAAAAGGGAAGAACAGCAGACUUUGGUCUGUAAAUCUUUCUUCCAUAUGUAGUUGAAGGCGAGCAUACCUGUCUUAGGGACAGUGAAAUCCCAGAGGCUCCUGAUCAUUCCUCUCCUGACUUUGCUUUGUUUCAGAUUUUCUGUAAAUGCUGCCCACCCCCACUGCCUCUGCCUGAUGACGUCCUCUGGGUGCUUGUGUGAGAAUCAUGCAGUGACCACAUCAUCACCCACAGCUGAUGACUCAGAGUGGACCACCUAUUCAGCCCAGAGCAGGAACCCAAGCCUAUGAAGUGAAUUGUAGGAUGUGGUAUCAGCCAGUAGAGGUACUGGAGCACCAGAAACCUGAGUUCCCAGUGAUAGAACCGCCAAUGCCUCAUGGCCAUGCUGCUAAAUCCAUCAGGAUAGUUUCUUUAGCAGGUAUGUGUUUGAGCCCUUCUGUUGUGCUAGAACCAAGCAUGUUGGAGAUGUGUCUCCUUCACUUAGAGAGCUGACCAUCUGGUUGAAGAGACGGAAAUGCCAGGAGCCAGAGUACAGUUUGGGGAGGGCUAUGGUAGCACAAUACACAAGGCAGUAACAAAGCAUGGCCACCAUCUACUAGACCCAUCUAGCAACCCAUUUAUUAUCAUAGCUUCCUUUCUAGAGAAUUUCUAACAUCCCUUAUUUAGUUACAAAUGUUUAGUGUGAGAGUCCACCUCUUUUCUGAAUGCUUUCAAUAAAAGUCCUGUACUUGACAUUUUAUUGGGCUAGAUUAAUGAAUUGCUAGGAGUCAAAUCCACUUUGGGUAGGCUGGGGUCAGUCUACUCAAGCCACUAGAACCAAGAAUGAGAAAGGGCUGGUUCUCUAAAGGACGUUUGUGGUGCUAAAUUGCUGAUACCAUAUGAAGUGAGGAAGCAUGCCAGGCAGCCAAAGAUCAGUAGUUGUGUUGUUUAGUAUUCUGUCUCCUGUCCAGAGAGCCACACUUCUUACAUAGCAGGCUCAGCACAUAACAGGCUCACAGUAAACAUUUGCUAAACAAACUACACUAAUGCUAUCAUUAUAAUGGAUGUGAAAGAUUGUUGUUUCUGAACAGCCCGUGCCCAAUUCUGUUAAAAGACAACUAAGUCUCUCUACAUGGUUCGAUUCUUGUGAUUUGUUUCCACCUUUAUAUUUUCUGUGAGGAAAUUUUUCUAUGAGGAAUGGUAUAUCUCAAAAUAUAGAAUUCCAGUGUAAACGUCUUCCUUGUCAAUAGCAAGCCAACUACAUUUAUCAAACUUCUAUUUUUUGAACCUAGCUUGCCCCAUAGUAGACGUUUUAAAAAUAAUUUUUUCUGAUUAUAGUCAUAAUAUAUGUUUGUUAAGAAAAUUUGGAAAGUAGGAAGGGAAAAUAUCACUUUUUAACCUGUCUCCCACAGACUGACUGUUACCAUAAGCAGUGUGUUUUAAAUACUUGGGAUCACAUUGUACAUACAAUGCAAUUUAUUUUAUCCUUGAUUAACCCUACAAAUUAAGCAUUUUCCCCAUGCUCGUAGAAAUCUUAGUCAAUACAACUAUAGUCUUUCUUUCCUAGGCAUUAAAAAAUUUAAUAUGCAAGUAAUUUUUAAAUAAUUUUAGCAAAGCGAAAAUAAUAAACAUUACCUAAUUUCUCAUCAUUCACUGAUAACCAUCUUUAAUGUCUUGAAAUAUGCUCUAGCACAUUUUUUCUCAUGUAAUAUCUGCAUUUUUUAAAAUUAAAAGGGGAUUAUGCUAAACAUAAGUUUAUGACCCAUUUAAAAAAUUGAGGUAAAAUUCACAUAACAUACAAUUAACCAUUUUAAAGUAUUCAAUUCAGUGACAUUUAGCACAUUCAAAAUCUGCAACCACCACCUCUGGAUAUUUCAUAUAAACGGAAUCACACAAUACAUGACCUGUUGUGGCUGGCUACAUUCACUUGUAAUAAUGUUUCUGAGAUUCAUACAAGCUGUAGCACAUGCCAGUAUUCGUUCUUUUUAAUGGAAAAAUAAUAUUCCCAUUGUAUGUUUAUACCACAAGUUAUUUGUUCAUCUGUCAAUGGACAUUUGGGUUGUUUUCAUCUUUUGGCUAUUGUAGCUAAUGCAGCAAUAAUAAGCAUUUGUGUACAAAUUUCUGCAUGAACAAUAUGUUUUCAGUUCUUUUGGAUAUAUACCAAAUAUAUAUACUUUUGGAAUUUCUGAGUUAUACAAUAAUCCUAUUUUUAAUUUUUUAAGGAACCACCAAACUGUUUUCCACAGUGGUUGUACCCUUUUGCAUUGCUUAUCAGCAACAUAGGAAAGUUCCUAUUUCUCUGCAUCCUUGCUGACACUUGUUAUUUUAAAAUUAUUAUCUUCAUCCUAAUGGGUGUAAAGUAGUAUGUCAUAUGGUUUUGAUUCACAUUUCCUUUAUGAGUAAUGAUGUUGAGCAUCACUUCAUGUGUUUGCUGGUUAUUCGCAUAUCUUCUUUGGAGAAAUGUUGAUUCAAGUCCUUUGCCCAUUCUUAAAAUUGCGUUGUUUUUGUUUUCAUUGUUGAGUUGGAAGAGUUUGUUAUAUAUUCUGGAUACUCAGCCCUUAUCAGAUAUGUGGCUUGUAAAUAUUUUCUCCCAUUCUGCAGAUUGUCUUUUCAUUUUCUUGAUAUUGUCAUUCCAUGUGCAAAUUAAAAAAAUUUUAUGCAUUCAAAUGUAUCAAUUUUAUCUUUUGUUGCUUGUGCUUUUGGUGUCAAAUUUAAGAAUCCAUUGACAAAUCAGAAACCAUGAAGAUUACGCCUGUUUUCUUCUAAGAGUUUUAUGGUUUUGGCCCUUAUAUUUAGGAUUGAUUUAUUUUAAAUUAAUUAUUGUAUGUGACAUAAGGUAGGAGUCUACUAGAGUAUUUUGCACAUGGCUAUCCAAUUGUUCCAGCACCACUUGUUGAAGAUAUUAUUCUUUCCCCACUGAAUGUUCAAGACCCCCUUGACAAUCCUUAUCAAAAAUCAAAUGGCCAUAAAUGUUGUGUUUAUUUCUGGACUCUGAAUCUAUUCCAUUGAUCCAUAUGUCUAUCCUUAUGCCUUUGCCAUGCUGUUUUAAUUACUGUAGCUUGUAAGUUUUGAAAUUGAGAAGUGUAAGUACUCCAACUUUGUUUUUCUAUUUCAAUAUUGGUUUUGCUUUUUUGGAUCCUAUGGAAUUACAUAUGAAUUUUAGGAUUGGCUUUUCCAUUUCAGCAAAGAAGACCAUUUGAAAUUUUGACAGAGAUUGCAUUGAAUCUAUAGAUUGCUUUGGGAAGUAUUGCCAUUUAACAAUAUUAAGUAUCCCUAUCCGUGAACAUGGGACAUCUUUCCAUUUAAUCAGCAAUUAUUUGUGGUUUUUAGUGUACAAUUCUUUCACUUCCUUGGUUAAAUUUAGUCCCAUGUAUUUUAUUCUUUGGGAUGUUAUUAUAAAGGAAAUUGUUUUCUUAGUUUCCUUUUUUUAUUGUUCAUUGUGGGUUUGUGUAUAGAAACACAACUGAUUUUGUACCCUGAAAUUUGUUGAAUUUGCUUAUUAACUCUACUAGUUUUUGUGUGGAUUAUUUGGGAUUUUCUUUGUAUACAGUCAUGUCAUCUGCAAAUAGAAAUAGUUUUACUUCUUCCUUCAUAAUUGGAUACCUUUUCUUUCAUUUUCUUACCUAAUUGCUCUGUUUAGGAAUUCCAGUGCAAUAUUGAAUAGCAGUGAUGAAGUGAGCAUCUGGUUGGAUUUUCUAUUUCUUCUUGAGUCUGUUUUGGUAGUUUCUGUGUUUCUAGUAAUUUGUCCAUUUCAUCUAGACUACCUAAUUUGUUGGUGUACAAAUGUAGAUAGUAUUCUUUUUAUAGUCCUUUUAAUUUCUCUAAGGUUGGUAGUAAUGUCUCCACUUUUAUUUCUAAUUUUAGUAAUAUAAGUCUUCUACAAACUUCACCAUCUCCUAUAUUUUUCAGGGACUUGGGGAGAAAAAUUAAGGAGGUGCUGAAGAAUAAAAGUCUUUUGUCUAUAUCUCUGAUGUUAGAUUCUGAUUCUGUUAGAAGAGAGAGGUACCUCAGUGGCUACCAUAUGGUGAUGGAAAAGUUUAUUCAUAUUACACACGCUCUUCCCUUUUAUUCCUUAUUUCCCUGCUGUUCUUAAUCUGUAGAAGAAUGUCAUGCCUUGCCCAUGAAGGGAAAUACUCUUGGGUAUUAGCCUUUCACUGAACCACAGCUAGUCCCUUUUCGAAGUGGCCAAGGCCAAUCCUUACAGGUAAAUGAGAACAGCACAAUGACAUGACAUUCCCACACUCAUACAUGACAUUUGAUUCUGAUGUUGUGACCUGAUUUCCCUGAGCUUGAUCAUUCUCUUAAGUCAUGGCAAAGUCAGAACUUACAGGCAUAAGGAGCCAGAAGUUGGCCCUAGAUUUCAUUUGACCAUGAGACUCAGCUAUGUUGUAGAGAAGAAAAUCUGUUUUUUUGUUUUGUUUUGUUUUUUGAGACGGCAUCUUGCUCUGUCACCCAGGCUGGAGUGCAUUGGUCCGAUCUUGGCUCACUGCAACCUCCGCUCCCUGGGCUCAAGUGAUUCUCGUGCCUCAGCCUCCGGAGUAGCUGGGAUUACAGGUGUGUACCACCAUGCCCAACGAAUUUUUGUACUUUUAGUGGAGGCAGGAUUUCACCAUGUUGCCCAGACUGGUCUUGAACUCCUGGCCUCAAGUGAUCUACACACUUUGGCCUCUUAAAGUACUGGGAUUACAGGUAUGAGCCACCACACUUGACCUGUAGAGAAGAAAUUCUUGUCUCAGUUAAAAGUUAUCUCUGUAUUCCUAUUAGGAUAGGAUGCUAGUCAGAAUUCCUGGGAUAUGUACAUAAAAUCAAAAAUAAUUUGAGAUAAAAAAUCUGUCAGCAAAGAAGAACUUAGGUAACAUAUUAGAGUGGAGAAUGUGGUACUUCCAUUUUGCUUCUGUGGUAGUAAGGAUUGGGAAGAGGGCAGAGAUGGGAAGAGAAAAGUGUUUCUAGGACAGACAUACAUCUAUUAUUUUUCUGGAGUUUGAGUAUCUACUAGAACAACCUUUAAUUUUCCCUUAUUGCCUAUUCUUAUCAUUGCCCAGCCACCAUCACAAAUGAAAAAAGGAUGGAGAAGAACAAGUCUGGAUGUUGGGUUGGGGACAAUCCAGUAAGACUCUGGAGUGGGUAAAUGUCUGGUGUGGAUGAAAAGAGGCCUACAGAAGAAGGGGGAGUAGAAGUAGGUUUGAGUGAGAACAGUGCGCCCACCUCCACCAAACCGGGAGCAAGUGUGACAAUACAGACUCAGAAAAGUAAAUUGGCAUGGACUGCACUUCCGGGUUGGAGCAAGUUGAAAGGCAUCAAUGUUCUGGGCUGUGAUGUCACCUUCAAUGUGACCUUGGGUCAUUCUCAAGAUCCACCCCACAUCCCCAUAACCUGGGGGUUUUUACAUUCCCAGGAUCUUUGCCCACCAAGGCCACUGCCCUUUCCCAAAGCAUCUUGUUUCCACAGAGUCUGAAGUUCACAUACUAAUGUUCUGGAGUGAUGGACUCUCUCUUAAGUAUCUUGUUUACAGUCUCAUGCUGUGCAUUUUUUUUUUUUUUACCAUGUCUGCAUGGGAUAUGGCAAAGGGUUUGGUUUAGUGUAGAUAAAAAGAAUGCUGCAGAAUCAUUCGCUAGAACCUUUAGCAUAUGAUUGCAAAGUUGGUGGGUCUUUCUCUUUUUCUCUCUAUCUCAAAGUUCAGGGCAAGUAUAAUAAUAAGUUAUUGUGUUUGGAAACAAAUUCAUGCUUAAGCAUUCUUAUGUUAUAUCCCCUCUCUGUUCCCCAGACGUGGUAUGACAUCUACUUGUGGACACACUCUGCUUUCUGGUUUUUCUGUUUCUGAUUAGAAACUCAAAAACAAUAUGAGAAACAUACCUGAAAACAGCAGAAGAUCUGGAUCAUUCCGGCCAGCAAUUCAAAGUCUGCCAAAGGGAAAUCAAGUAUUGUAGAAACCUACGGGGCCUCUCAGAGCAUUUUACCAGAACUGUGGCAGGGUGACUGAUUGUGGUAUUCUCUUUGUAUUCUCUAUGCUGAAUCAUUUGCCAGAACUUCCAAUAUAUGAUUGCAAAACUAGACUUUUUUAAUGUUAUCUUGUCUCAGAUUUCUAAGCCUGAAAGAUUGAGGCUGUUGCUGAACGAUGCUUAAUUAACCAAGGCAUUGAGCUCCAACCAUGAGGCUUUGAGGAGUUUGAUAUCUAGCCCCUCUUGGCAUCAUAUGCUAAGACUGGCUGUGAGGCUAUGAGAAUCUUAAGUACCUGCACGCUGUUCAUAAGUGGUACUCUAAAACUCCUGAGGAAAUAAGGGAGACUGGAAUUAGUGGGAUUAGCUUGUGGGAUUAGCUUGUGUCCUUUGGCUUAGCCUCUUUCUCUCCAGAAAUUUCACUUUUGGCUCAGUCCUCACAGGGGAAGAAAGUCUUGUCCAAAGAUGGCGUCUACCCUGUGCUCCACUGUGUAUCCCAGAGGAGAGCAUCUUUACUGUGGAAUGGACUUCCAGCUGACUCAUGUUGGGGAAAGGAAGCAACACAGGAGCUUAAGAGGAAAAUUGAAAGAAACCACAGACCCUUUGAAAGAAGUGGCAAACUGCAGCUUACACCAUGAGCCAGGCAGAAAACUCUGAGUCCUCAGAGUGUGAAAGGAAGAGAAACUGCCUCUGGGAUAUGCACUCCCACUGGGGAACCUGGCAAUCCAGGCCACGGGGAAGACCUUAACCCUACCCAGUGCUGGAGCUGAUUUAAUGAGCUGAGGGGAGUAUAUGAGAAGGAGCAGCUUCAGGAUGUGCUUUGCUUGCACUCCUAGACUCUACUGGGGACAGAGGGAAGCCAUUCCUGAUCCUACCUCACAGAGGACCAUGCAGAAGUCAGCCAACUAGCUCAGGCGGUGGCCAUGGGCUGAGAGGAGUGAGAAGCUCCCAACUGAGAUUCACAAUAUAAUCUCUAGCAGGGAUGGACCUCCUUGACCAGAACUGAGGGGCAAGUGGGAAGUGCGCUGUGCCCACAGGUGUAGGAGCUGGGUGCCCCUGCUUCGCUAGCAGAUCAGGAGGGGCAUGGCCUGAGCAGUUUUUGUCUUGGCAGCCAGAGAAGGCUUAUGGUCUGGGACAGUUUUGAGUGCUGAAUGCAGCCUGCUUGCAACCUAGAUGGCCGCUGCCAGUAGAACACUGUGGGUCUGAGACCUGUCUUGCCAAGUGCAUAGGGGCUGAGUGGGGCUUACUGCCACCUGUACUCCCCACUUCCUGUGUGGACUCUUCUGUGCGGCAGGGGCAACUGCACUCCUCCCUGGAACAUUAUCCCAGCAUCCAGAGAACUGCCCUCUGAUCCCCACUGGGCCACUGAUUGCACCUGCACGUGGAUAGCCAGAGCGCGAACUUGCCUGACUCAGCCCCGACCUGGUUUGCCUUUUUACCCACCCUGGUAGCUUAACACAAAGGACAGAAACUUUCGGGAGUGUUAUGGACCUGCCCAUUGCUUGAGACACCAGAGUACCUCCCCUGGUCACAUAAGCCAAGCAUGAAUUCCACCACUACUACUGCAGUCAGUGCUCUUUCGCACCAACUGCACCUCCUGGCUAUAGGCCAAUCAACAUAGUCCAUUACAACAUCUGUAGGCAGAAUAACACAGCACUGGGAAGGAGAAAACUUUUGCAUGACUACAGCUACCACCAUUGCCUGCAUCACCCUGGCUAACCAGGAGGUCUUGAGUCUGUUCACAUGACCAGAUCAUUACUACUACAACUGAAAUUAGAGAAAGCCAGCACACUAAGGCUAUUUGUAACCAAAGAAUCUCACAGAGUUUACUUUACUCCUCUGCCAGCCCCAUCAGAGCUGGUGCUGGUACCCACUGCUGGGAGACUUGAGGAUAAGUCACAUCGCUGGACCCUUUGCAGACAUUCCCUAGCACAGGCCUGGAAUGUAGCAGCCCCAUUGGGUGGCCAGAUCCAGAGCCGCAGCAGCAAUCAUAGUAGUCUGGCACUCAGGGACUCCUACUCCUAGGGUAAGCAGGAGUGCACCACAUGAAGGGAGCACCCUGUGGGACAAAGGAAUCCAGAUGGCAGGCUUUGAGUCUCAGAACUUUACAAUUGUGGGAAAUUUCUUUCAGCAGAGAGACAGGUGCAGUGCUGGGCUCAGUGGGGAAGUCUGUGGCUCUACCUCACCAGUCAGGCAGCCCUGGUGCUUGUGAAGGGUCUUGGAGAAUAGGACUUCUCCCCCUCAUGCACCACUGCUGACACAGCUGGGGUUUCUCACAAAGGAACUCGGCAUGAGUGCACCUGUAGACAGCCUUUCUGGGACCCUUCAGGUGACUGCAUUCCCACAGGACAAGUGCCCUCCAGGCUCAGGCUUGUAUGAGAGGUAGAGUCACAAUUCAUCUCUACAUUCUUGCAGCUGAAAAGACGUGUCUGUCUGAAGGUCUAACAUCCAGUAUCUGUAAGGAACUUAAACAAAUUUACAAAAAACCCCUAACCCACCCCAUUAAAAAGUAGGCAAAGGAUAUAAACACACACUUCUCAAAAGAAGACAUACAUGCUGCCAACAAUCAUAUGAAUAAAAACUCAACAUCACUGAUCAUCAGAGAAAUGCAAAUCAAAACCACAAUGAGAUACCACUUCACACCAAUCAGAAUGGCUAUUACUAAAAAGUCAAAAAUAACAGAUGCUAGCGAGGUUGUGGAGAAAAAGGAUCGCUUCCACAAUUUUGGUGGGAGUGUAAAUUAGUUCAACCAUUGUGGAAGACAGUAUGGCAACUUCUCAAAGACCUAAAGUCAGAACUACCAUUUCAUCCAGCAAUCCCAUUACUGGGUAUAUACCCAAAGGAAUAUAAAUUGUUCUAUUAUAAAGACA